GUCCUACGGGGCGCAGCAGUGGGGGAUAUUACACAAUGGGGGAAACCCUGAUGCAGCGACGCCGCGUGUGGGAAGACGGUCCUCUGGAUUGUAAACCACUGUCCCCAGGGACGAAAAUGACGGUACCUGGGGAGGAAGCUCCGGCUAACUACGUGCCAGCAGCCGCGGUAAUACGUAGGGAGCGAGCGUUGUCCGGAAUUACUGGGUGUAAAGGGAGCGUAGGCGGGGAUGCAAGUUGGGGGUCGAAACUACCGGCUCAACUGGUAGUCGCACUAAAAACUGCCGCUCUUGAGUGCAGUAGAGGC
Molecule: ribosomal RNA, 305 nt
Filed under: uncultured bacterium
Lineage: Bacteria
Description: bacterial SSU rRNA
Rfam family: Bacterial small subunit ribosomal RNA
Source: RNAcentral